Molecule: ribosomal RNA, 800 nt
Filed under: uncultured bacterium
Lineage: Bacteria
Description: bacterial SSU rRNA
Rfam family: Bacterial small subunit ribosomal RNA
Source: RNAcentral
AGAGUUUGAUCCUGGCUCAGAUUGAACGCUGGCGGAAUGCUUUACACAUGCAAGUCGAACGGUAGAGGGGGCAACCCCUUGAGAGUGGCGAACGGGUGAGUAAUAUAUCGGAACGUGCCCAGUCGUGGGGGAUAACGUAGCGAAAGUUACGCUAAUACCGCAUACGAUCUAAGGAUGAAAGCGGGGGACCGUAAGGCCUCGCGCGAUUGGAGCGGCCGAUAUCAGAUUAGGUAGUUGGUGGGGUAAAGGCUCACCAAGCCAACGAUCUGUAGCUGGUCUGAGAGGACGACCAGCCACACUGGAACUGAGACACGGUCCAGACUCCUACGGGAGGCAGCAGUGGGGAAUUUUGGACAAUGGACGCAAGUCUGAUCCAGCCAUUCCGCGUGCAGGAUGAAGGCCCUCGGGUUGUAAACUGCUUUUGUACGGAACGAAAAGGUUUCUCUUAAUACGAGGAGCUCAUGACGGUACCGUAAGAAUAAGCACCGGCUAACUACGUGCCAGCAGCCGCGGUAAUACGUAGGGUGCAAGCGUUAAUCGGAAUUACUGGGCGUAAAGCGUGCGCAGGCGGUUAUGUAAGACAGAGGUGAAAUCCCCGGGCUCAACCUGGGAACUGCCUUUGUGACUGCAUAGCUAGAGUACGGUAGAGGGGGAUGGAAUUCCGCGUGUAGCAGUGAAAUGCGUAGAUAUGCGGAGGAACACCGAUGGCGAAGGCAAUCCCCUGGACCUGUACUGACGCUCAUGCACGAAAGCGUGGGGAGCAAACAGGAUUAGAUACCCUGGUAGUCCACGCCCUAAAC